GGGGGGGGGGGGGGGGGGGGGGGGGGGGGGGGGGGGGGGGGGGGGGGGGGGGCGGGCGGGGGGAGUGAGGGGCGGACGGGUGAGUAAUGCGUGGGGAUCUGCCUGGUAGUGGGGGAGAGCGUCCGGAAGCGGGGGCUAAUACCGCGUACGUCCUGAGGGAGAACGUGGGGGAUGUUCGGACCUCACGCUAUCAGGUGCGCCUAGGUCGGAUUAGCUAGUUGGUGGGGUAAAGGCCUACCAAGGCGACGAUCCGUAACUGGUCUGAGAGGAUGAUCAGUCACACUGGAACUGAGACACGGUCCAGACUCCUACGGGAGGCAGCAGUGGGGAAUAUUGGACAAUGGGCGAAAGCCUGAUCCAGCCAUGCCGCGUGUGUGAAGAAGGUCUUCGGAUUGUAAAGCACUUUAAGUUGGGAGGAAGGGCAGUAAGUUAAUACCUUGCUGUUUUGACGUUACCAACAGAAUAAGCACCGGCUAACUUCGUG
This 484-nucleotide ribosomal RNA is filed under the name uncultured bacterium. RNAcentral's name for it is "partial 16S ribosomal RNA". It matches the Rfam family "Bacterial small subunit ribosomal RNA", at positions 39 to 507 of the family's 1533-position model. The record is from RNAcentral.